ACAGACAGGUUGAGAGCUCUUUCUCGAUUCAGUGGUUGGUGGUGCAUGGCCGUUCUUAGUUCGUGGAGCGAUCUGUCUGGUUAAUUCCGAUAACGAACGAGACUCUUGCCUGCUAAAUAGACGGCGUCGACAUAGCGCGGCGACCGUUCGCUUCUUAGAGGGACAAGCGGCGUUUAGCCGCGUGAAGCAGAGAGCAAUAACAGGUCAGUGAUGCCCUCAGAUGUUCGGGGCCGCACGCGCGCUACACUGUCUGCAUCAGCGUGUUUUUCCCGCGCCGGCUGGCGCGGGCAACCCGUUGAACCGCAGACGUGAUUGGGAUCGGAGCUUGCAAUUGUUCUCCGUGAACGAGGAAUUCCUUGUACUGGCGAGUCAUCAGCUCGCGGGGAAUCCGUCCCUGCCCUUUGUACACACCGCCCGUCGCUACUACCGAUUGAGUGGUUUAGUGAGGCGCACGGACGGCGAGCGACAUACGGCGCUUUCGGGCGGCGCGUCGCGAGCGGAAAGUGCGACGAACUUGAUCACUUCUAGGAAGUAAAA
This 537-nucleotide ribosomal RNA is filed under the name Antarctothoa delta. RNAcentral's name for it is "SSU rRNA". It matches the Rfam family "Eukaryotic small subunit ribosomal RNA", at positions 1239 to 1787 of the family's 1831-position model. Lineage: Eukaryota; Metazoa; Bryozoa; Gymnolaemata; Cheilostomatida; Hippothoidae. The record is from RNAcentral.